This 417-nucleotide long non-coding RNA is filed under the name Ictidomys tridecemlineatus (thirteen-lined ground squirrel). RNAcentral's name for it is "lncRNA (ENSSTOG00000030969.1)". Lineage: Eukaryota; Metazoa; Chordata; Mammalia; Rodentia; Sciuridae. The record is from RNAcentral.
GGGGUGGCAGGUCCCAGAGCAAGGUGCUGGCGUGGCCAGUUCCUGGUGGGGCCUCUCUGCCUGCCUUGUGGGUGCCCUCUUGCUGUGUCUUCACGAAGCUUCUCCUCCGUAGGUGCAGAGAGACAGCGAGUGUGAGCGGUGACGUUGGACUUUCUUCCACAUUCACUAAUGAGGAAACAGGCUAAGAGAAGUUAAGGACUUUACCUCUUCCUUCAUAAUCCCUCAAUUAUGGUUGAGAGACUUAAGAUGACCUUCCAGCCAGCUACCCCACACAGUCUGCCUCCAGAGGUCUUGUCUGGGCAGUCUCCCCAGAGUGCAGAAACUGGAGUCUUAACCAGGACACAGCCGCUCGGGAUGGCACUGACUCUGGAAAUCACUCUGCUGACUGGUGAGAAGGCUCGCCCUCCCCACGGUCUG